AUGCCAGUACAUGCCUCUUCCAGUGAGAAUAUUCUCCCUGGUCAUAAAGCCAAGCUCUCAAGACAUGGGAUGGGAGGAAAGGAAAAAGCUCAUGUGGGGCUACGAUUCUCCUUCUCAUGGCAAAGGACACAAAGGAUAGAGACCAAAGGAAACAAUGACUAUCUCGGUAGACCUGAGAGUACUCAUAACAAAUCUUUACCAGAGUCCCCAUACUCAAGGAACUACUUUACACAAACAUUUUCUCCUGCUAAUCUGAAUUUAGAAAAAGGAAAGAAGACUCCCCACGCUCGCUUCCACUGGAUUCUACAGGUGGAGCUCCAGGAGACUGAUCUGGAAGGACGGAAGUCAGUCACCAGAGAAAACUCUAGACCCUUAUCAGCCUGGAGAUGGCACCAGAGGAGCCUAAGUAACAAACCUUGUCUACUAUUACUUCCCUAUAUACAUUCUUUCUCACAACUUGCCUCCCUAGAAACUCAAAAGUCCUUUUCCUUUGUCGUGUCACUUCUCUAAAAAUGUAUUGUUCUUUUGUUAAUAUGCUAUAAUAAGCCCAAUUCUAAUCACUCCUUUGAGUUACUCAUCACUGGGUGCUCCCUUGUGUAUGUGUGAUGCACUUUUUAAUAAACUUGUUUGGGGUGCCUGGGUGGCUCAAUUGUUAAGUGUCUGCCUUCAGCUCAGGGUCAUGAUCCUGGGGUCCUGGGCUGAGUCCUGUCUUGGCUCCCUGUUCAGCAGGAAGCCUGGUUCUCCCUCUCCCCCUCUGCCUGCUUGUGUUCCCUUUCUUGCUAUAUCUCUCUAUCAAAUAAAUAAAUAAAAUAUUUAAUAAACUUGUUUAUUUUUCUCUGGGUAAUCUGUCUUUGUAGUCUAAUUACAUGGCUCCUGUCAGAGAAAUUAAGGUGGACAGAGAAAAAACAGUUUUUCUUCUCCUAUACUCCUACAGAAAUCCCCAUAGUCUGGCAUUUUUCUGUGUCUAAGCUCCUAUCUCUCCCACCCCUUAGCUCCCAUGACCAGCCUUUGUGGACAUAUUCAGUUGUUGGGGUUUAAUAUGUCUCUUCCCUAUUCAGAGACUAAGAGAAGGCUAAGCCCAGCCAAGGCAUCACUGCAUCCCAGAAGCCCUCCUGUCUUAUGCCUAAGGCAGGGCCAUUGCCAGCUUGUGUAGCACCCACCUACAUUCACCACCGUGGUCAUUUGCUCAGGGUCAGGCAUCCUCAGUAGACUUUAGGCUCCAUGAAAGCAGGGAUGGGUUGUUUUGUUCACCAUUCUACCUCCUGCCACCAGGAAUGAAACAGAGGAGGCAUGCACAAAUCCACUGAGUGCAGAACACAGGGCCCAGACACAGAGAACACUGUGGUUUUCAGCAAGCCCUGCUGCUCUGAAAGGGCAGGGCUCCUUCCCCUGCAAGGUCCCAACUGAUGUCAAGUCCCAUCUUUCCAGCCCUUUCAAAGAUAUACCUUACAUGGGUCCAUUUCACAUAAGCCCUUUUAUUAUUUACUCAGAUAAUACAUGUGCCUGAUGUAUCAACCAAACACCUAACUUGUUUCUGUAGUGAAUUUUAAAACUUCUUGAUCAAGGGGUGCCUAGGUGCCUCUGUGGGUUAAGCCUCUCCCUUUGGCUUGGGUCAUGAUCCCAGGGUCCUGGGAUCAAGCACAUUGGGUUGCCUGCUGAGCAGGGAGCCUGCUUCCCCCUCUCUCUCUGCCUGCCUCUCUGCCUAUUUGUG
Molecule: long non-coding RNA, 1711 nt
Organism: Mustela putorius furo (domestic ferret)
Lineage: Eukaryota; Metazoa; Chordata; Mammalia; Carnivora; Mustelidae
Source: Ensembl